CCUACGGGAGGCAGCAGUGGGGAAUAUUGCACAAUCGGGGAAACCCUGAUGCAGCGACGCCGCGUGAGCGAUGAAGUAUUUCGGUAUGUAAAGCUCUAUCAGCAGGGAAGAAAAUGACGGUACCUGACUAAGAAGCCCCGGCUAACUACGUGCCAGCAGCCGCGGUAAUACGUAGGGGGCAAGCGUUAUCCGGAUUUGCUGGGUGUAAAGGGAGCGUAGACGGGGGUGCAAGCCAGAUGUGAAAGCCCGGGGCUCAACCCCGGGACUGCAUUUUGAACUGGGUGGCUGGAGUGUCGGAGAGGGAGGCGGAAUUCCUAGUGUAGCGGUGAAAUGCGUAGAUAUUAGGAGGAACACCAGUGGCGAAGGCGGCCUGCUGGACGAUGACUGACGUUGAGGCUCGAAAGCGUGGGGAGCAAACAGGAUUAGAUACCCGAGUAGUC
Molecule: ribosomal RNA, 440 nt
Filed under: uncultured bacterium
Lineage: Bacteria
Description: partial 16S ribosomal RNA
Rfam family: Bacterial small subunit ribosomal RNA
Source: RNAcentral